UACGUAGGGGGCAAGCGUUAUCCGGAUUUACUGGGUGUAAAGGGAGCGUAGGCGGCUUAGUAAGUCAGAAGUGAAAGCCCGCAGCUCAACUGCGGGACUGCUUUUGAAACUGGCAGUCUCGAGUUGGAGAGAAGUAUGCGGAAUGCGCGGUGUAGCGGUGAAAUGCAUAGAUAUCGCGCAGAACUCCGAUUGCGAAGGCAGCAUGCCGGCUCCACACUGACGCUGAGGCACGAAAGCGUGGGUAUCGAACAGG
RNAcentral lists this ribosomal RNA (253 nucleotides) under uncultured Bacteroidales bacterium. RNAcentral describes it as "partial 16S ribosomal RNA". It matches the Rfam family "Bacterial small subunit ribosomal RNA", at positions 524 to 776 of the family's 1533-position model. Lineage: Bacteria; Pseudomonadati; Bacteroidota; Bacteroidia; Bacteroidales. The record is from RNAcentral.